GUCGGGCUUUACUAUGCUAAAAUUGGAAUUGGAACUCCUCCGAAGGAUUAUUAUGUUCAAGUUGAUACUGGGAGCGAUAUCGUGUGGGUGAAUUGUAUUCAGUGUAGGGAGUGUCCGAGGAAAAGCUCUCUUGGGAUGGAACUCACCCCUUAUGAUUUAGAGGAAUCCACGACCGGGAAAUUGGUUUCUUGUGAUGAGCAAUUUUGCUUGGAGGUGAAUGGGGGUCCACUUUCAGGCUGCACUACUAAUAUGUCCUGCCCAUAUCUUCAGAUAUAUGGUGACGGGAGCUCGACUGCAGGUUACUUUGUCAAGGACUACGUACAAUAUGAUCGGGUUUCUGGAGACCUUGAAACUACAGCUGCCAAUGGAAGUAUCAAGUUUGGAUGUGGUGCCAGACAAUCUGGGGAUCUUGGCUCAUCUGGUGAAGAAGCACUUGAUGGCAUACUUGGUUUUGGAAAAUCGAAUUCAUCUAUAAUUUCACAACUAGCCUCCUCAAGAAAAGUGAAGAAGAUGUUUGCUCAUUGCCUAGAUGGAAUAAAUGGGGGUGGUAUCUUUGCGAUAGGACAUGUUGUGCAGCCAAAAGUUAACAUGACUCCGUUGGUACCAAAUCAGCCACAUUACAAUGUCAAUAUGACGGGAGUACAAGUUGGUCGUGUCAUGUUAAAUAUUUCUGCCGAUGUAUUCGAGGCAGGAGACAGGAAAGGGACAAUUAUUGAUAGUGGCACAACCUUGGCAUAUCUUCCUGAACUGAUUUACGAGCCGUUAGUGACCAUGAUUCUCUCUCGGCAACACAAUUUGGAAGUUCAAACUAUUCAUGGAGAAUAUAAAUGUUUUCAGUACUCAGAGAGGGUCGACGAUGGAUUUCCUCCAGUUAUUUUCCAUUUCGAGAACUCACUCUUGUUGAAAGUUUAUCCUCACGAGUAUCUAUUCCAAUACGAGAGCUUGUGGUGUAUUGG
Molecule: unclassified non-coding RNA, 956 nt
Filed under: Hevea brasiliensis (rubber tree)
Lineage: Eukaryota; Viridiplantae; Streptophyta; Magnoliopsida; Malpighiales; Euphorbiaceae
Source: RNAcentral